GACGGGCGGUACGAGAAACUGGGAGAAGAAGAGAAAGUUGUUGCUUGCUUCCAGCCAUGAACUUACUCUGCCUGCGAUGUAUUUUUUUAUGCCGUGUUUAUUUUCUUCAGUAAAGUUGUGAACUUAAACCAAACCGCUGCAUUGGCAAAAUAAGCACAUUCAUGCACCGUUUCUUCAUUGGUGGCUGGGCACCGCGGCUGCAUCCUCUUCUUCGUGGCAUGGCACAGUAAUUGCAGGUUCAUCAGUCAGGUGGUCAGCACCCAAACUAAAACCAUGAGUCAUGGUGGCCAGGAUGACGUCCAAGAAUUGCAUCCCAGCAGCACAGAUGGGGGAGCCAACAUGAAGAGGUGUCCAGAGAGGCUUCUUUCGCUUUGGCUUUGCAGCAGCACCAGGACCUCACCAUCAGUGAUGCUGUUCCCCUCAUCCAUCGGGCCUACCCUUACAUUCCUCCCCUGAUGCACUGAUCACCUGUACCAGUUGUUGGAGUUUUCAGAAGGGCUCUAAAUUAACUUUUUUUAUUCACUAGUAGCCAAAAUGGCUAGUAUGUUAAUCUCCAAACAUACCGGUACAUUAAAUAAUGGGUCAAAGUGCCAAGUAUGUUUUCUUUUCUACCAGCAAAACUUAAUUUUCCCAGCAUUUGGCUGGUUGGCUGGUGAGCCCUGGUUGUCAUUGAUGGUGAGUAGUUGUGAUAAUAAAUAACUGAAAUGAUGAAGUCC
Long non-coding RNA from Engraulis encrasicolus (European anchovy), 716 nucleotides. RefSeq lists it as uncharacterized. The record is from RefSeq and is a predicted model, not a curated record. The transcript is spliced from 3 exons. Lineage: Eukaryota; Metazoa; Chordata; Actinopteri; Clupeiformes; Engraulidae.